RNAcentral lists this transfer RNA (67 nucleotides) under marine eukaryotic metagenome. It matches the Rfam family "tRNA". From Rfam's summary of the family: Transfer RNA (tRNA) molecules are approximately 80 nucleotides in length. The record is from RNAcentral.
GGGUAUAGCUCAGUUGGUAGAGCGGCGGUCUCCAAAACCGCAGGUCGAGGGUUCGAACCCUUCUGCC